RNAcentral lists this ribosomal RNA (460 nucleotides) under uncultured bacterium. Its description in RNAcentral is "partial 16S ribosomal RNA". It matches the Rfam family "Bacterial small subunit ribosomal RNA", at positions 338 to 795 of the family's 1533-position model. The record is from RNAcentral.
CCUACGGGAGGCAGCAGUGAGGAAUAUUGGUCAAUGGGCGAGAGUCUGAACCAGCCAAGUCGCGUGAAGGAUGACUGCCCUAUGGGUUGUAAACUUCUUUUAUAUGGGAAUAAAAUGUUCCACGUGUGGGAUUUGGUAUGUACCAGAUGAAUAAGCAUCGGCUAACUCCGUGCCAGCAGCCGCGGUAAUACGGAGGAUCCGAGCGUUAUCCGGAUUUAUUGGGUUUAAAGGGUGCGUAGGUGGAUUGUUAAGUCAGUGGUGAAAGUUUGCGGGUCAACCGUAGAAUUGCGGUUGAAACUGGCAGUCUUGAGUGAAGUAGAGGUGGGCGGAAUGCGUGGUGUAGCGGUGAAAUGCUUAGAUAUCACGAAGAACUCCGAUUGCGAAGGCAGCUCACUGGACUGCAACUGACGCUGAGGCACGAAAGUGUGGGUAUCAAACAGGAUUAGAUACCCUUGUAGUC